This is a microRNA precursor of Gopherus agassizii (Agassiz's desert tortoise), 93 nucleotides long. The record is from Ensembl. NCBI's taxonomy places the organism in Eukaryota, Metazoa, Chordata, Testudines, Testudinidae.
GUCCUUUGGGGUGAGGUAGUAGGUUGUAUAGUUUUAGGGUUAUACCCUGCCUGUCAGAUAACUAUACAAUCUACUGUCUUUCCUGAAGUGGCU